Dendrobium catenatum is the source of this 590-nucleotide long non-coding RNA. RefSeq lists it as uncharacterized. The record is from RefSeq and is a predicted model, not a curated record. The transcript has 2 exons. Lineage: Eukaryota; Viridiplantae; Streptophyta; Magnoliopsida; Asparagales; Orchidaceae.
CUGAACUACAGAAUGUCUGAGCCAGCUGGCCUAGUAGUGCAUUCUCCGCCUUUUCCCCGCUCCCAUAAAAAACACUCCCCGAAGCCGAUGUCCCGCCACCGUCACCGGCCCCCUCCGCCGCCGCCGCCGCCGCCGCCGCCGGGUGGCAGCUGAAGAAGAUGGGGAGAAACUAUAGAAUGAGAGUGUCUUCUUGAUUUUUACGAUAUGGAUGGUGUGGUCUCAAAAUGAGAGAUCGUAUUCUGCCCCAAUGUGGAAAGUAUGGAUAUAAAGUGACAUAUAUUUUGUUUUCUGGUGGAAGCUCGGUUGGAUUAAUUCUGGGAAAGCUUAAUUUCAGGCUCAAUUUGGGUACGGUGGUGGGCAACUAGAAUUUGCAGGAAGAGAAUUGAGCAUCUUGUGAUAUUGGGUACAUGUUGAUUGAUGCUUCGUUUGUUGUUAUAUUUGUUAUUGUUUCUGUUUUGUUGAUUCCAUACGUUUGUUAACGCUUUGGUUCUUGUAACAAAUAGUUCGAUCUUCAUAGAUUUUUUUUUUUUUUUGGUGUAAUAAACAUUUCGAGUUAUCCAAUUCAACUCCUUGAUGAUUAUUUGUGGGAA